GUACGGGAGGCAGCAGUGGGGAAUUUUGCGCAAUGGGCGAAAGCCUGACGCAGCAACGCCGCGUGGAGGAUGAAGGCCUUCGGGUCGUAAACUCCUGUCAGGGGGGACGAAGGUCGGGAAACCGGCUUGACUGUACCCCUUGAGGAAGCCACGGCUAACUCCGUGCCAGCAGCCGCGGUAAUACGGAGGUGGCAAGCGUUGUUCGGAAUUACUGGGCGUAAAGGGCGCGUAGGCGGCUUGGCAAGUCAGAUGUGAAAGCCCCGAGCUUAACUUGGGAAUUGCAUCUGAAACUGCUUUGCUUGAGUCCUGGAGGGGGUAGUGGAAUUCCCAGUGUAGCGGUGAAAUGCGUAGAUAUUGGGAGGAACACCGGCGGCGAAGGCGGCUACCUGGACAGUGACUGACGCUGAGGCGCGAAAGCUAGGGGAGCGAACGGGAUUAGAUACCCGAGUAGUC
Molecule: ribosomal RNA, 453 nt
Filed under: uncultured bacterium
Lineage: Bacteria
Description: bacterial SSU rRNA
Rfam family: Bacterial small subunit ribosomal RNA
Source: RNAcentral